CUGCGGUCAGACGGAAAGACCCCAUGCACCUUUACUAUAGCUUUACGCUGGCAUUUGUGUCGGCAUGUGCAGGAUAGGUGGUAGGCUUUGAAGCAGGGACGCUAGUUUCUGUGGAGCCGCAAGAUGAGAUACCACCCUUAUCGUCAUAGAUGUCUAACCGCGGCAUAACAGUGUCCGGGACAGCGUAUGGUGGGUAGUUUGACUGGGG
RNAcentral lists this ribosomal RNA (208 nucleotides) under Aulacoseira subarctica. Its description in RNAcentral is "partial Bacterial large subunit ribosomal RNA". It matches the Rfam family "Bacterial large subunit ribosomal RNA", at positions 2070 to 2279 of the family's 2925-position model. The record is from RNAcentral. Lineage: Eukaryota; Bacillariophyta; Melosirophyceae; Melosirales; Aulacoseiraceae.